Molecule: ribosomal RNA, 253 nt
Filed under: uncultured bacterium
Lineage: Bacteria
Description: partial 16S ribosomal RNA
Rfam family: Bacterial small subunit ribosomal RNA
Source: RNAcentral
UACGUAGGGGGCAAGCGUUGUCCGGAAUUAUUGGGCGUAAAGAGCUCGUAGGCGGUUUGUCGCGUCGAAUGUGAAAACCCGGGGCUCAACUCCGGGCCUGCAUUCGAUACGGGCAGACUAGAGUUCGGUAGGGGAGACUGGAAUUCCUGGUGUAGCGGUGAAAUGCGCAGAUAUCAGGAGGAACACCGGUGGCGAAGGCGGGUCUCUGGGCCGAUACUGACGCUGAGGAGCGAAAGCGUGGGGAGCAAACAGG